AGACAGCAGUAGCCGCGGUAAUACGUAGGUGGCAAGCGUUGUCCGGAAUUAUUGGGCGUAAAGGGCUCGCAGGCGGUUUCUUAAGUCUGAUGUGAAAGCCCCCGGCUCAACCGGGGAGGGUCAUUGGAAACUGGGAAACUUGAGUGCAGAAGAGGAGAGUGGAAUUCCACGUGUAGCGGUGAAAUGCGUAGAGAUGUGGAGGAACACCAGUGGCGAAGGCGACUCUCUGGUCUGUAACUGACGCUGAGGAGCGAAAGCGUGGGGAGCGAACAGGAUUAGAUACCCGUGUAGUCCCUGUCUCUUAUAC
Molecule: ribosomal RNA, 307 nt
Filed under: uncultured bacterium
Lineage: Bacteria
Description: partial 16S ribosomal RNA
Rfam family: Bacterial small subunit ribosomal RNA
Source: RNAcentral